This 2634-nucleotide long non-coding RNA is filed under the name Pelobates cultripes (western spadefoot toad). Lineage: Eukaryota; Metazoa; Chordata; Amphibia; Anura; Pelobatidae. The record is from RNAcentral.
UGAGCAUGUCUGUGCAGAGCAGCACCAGAUAAAGUGCUAAAGGUUGGUGAAACCAAUGUUUAUUUUGUUGAUUUGUGUAGUUUAUUACCUUGGUUUAGAAAGGGACAUUACUUUAUGUUUUGUUAGUGCUCGAAUUUGAGCUAGGAUUUUGUUUGUAGACUUUCCUUUCUGUUUUGCUAAAGUUUUGAACAAACUGAUUGCUGCAUGGAUUUUGUGCACGAUGUAAAUAAACCACACCAUUUUUGCGUAAGAGACUGUUGUUCUAUACCUGUUACCCUAGAGGACUGUGUUGCUUUGCCCAUAAAGGUCACAGUAUGUAUGUAUAUAUAUAUAUAUAUAUAUAUAUAUGUGUGUGUGUGUGUAGUACACAGGUAUACAGUAAGUAUACACACAUACACAGCACCCCUUACCCCUGUGUGUGUUUGUGUGUGUGUGUGUGUGUGUGCGCCUGCUAGUGGGAAAGCUUGUGUGUAUGUCAGUGAGCUUGUUUGUAGUGAGCUUGUGUGGCAAUGUGCUUGUCUGUAGUGAGCAUGUGAGUGUGUCAGUGAGCUUGUCUGUAGUGAGCGUGUGUGCACGUCAGUGAGCUUUUCUGUAGUGAGCUUGUGUGUGUCAUUGAAGUUUGUAUUUAGUGUACUUGUGUGCAUGGCUUCUACAUGGGCACACAGUUGCACACCUACAGUUGCCCAGGGGUUCCACAAGCAUCCCCACCGUGAUGCCCAUGUGCCCAGGCCAAUAGAGGAGACAUGCUUUCUUGCUGUGGGCCCUCUCAGAACAAGUAUCUCCCUCACUGGCCCAAAGGCCCUUCAUUAGUGACAGGGAGGGUGGGAGAACCUGGGAAACAGAGCGCUCCUCCCGUGAGCAUGCUGUGCCAAGCAUUGCCGCAUGUUACCAUGGCAACGCUCCGACCAGCAUUCUGCUCGUGGGAGGAUUGAAGACAACUCUACUAAAGACAACUCACCACCACCAGACCAACAGGGCACAGCACCCCUCACACACACAAAGCACCCCAGACACAAAGCACCCCUCACACACACAGCACCUAUGACACACACACUCAGCAUCCCUCACACACACAACACCUCUGACACACAUACAGAGCACCACCAACAAACACAGGGCCCCUCACACACAGAUAGCACCACACACACACAGCACCCCUGACACAAAGCACCACACACACACAUAUUUAAGCCUACCCGGCACUCCAAACAGGACAGUUGACAACUAUGAAUCUGUAUAGCUGGCAGGAGGAUCCAUGAACCCACUAAAUUGUGCAUUGAAGCUUGAGUCCAACAGGGAAAGAGCAAGUAAUUAUGAUAAGUGAAACUAAAAGCCAUUGUCAGUAUGGAGGCCUCCACACAGGGUCUCCAUUUUAUAAUAUUGUUUGUUUACAUGCAGAGCCAGUAAAUCUUUUUUAUAUCAGAAAUGAAUCAUUCCACGGACCAUGACUAAUUAUCCAUUGUCUGGCAACUCAACCUACAUUUCUGUGCAUGAUUAACUAACAUCCAGGCACAUAACACAAAGCUAGACCAUUUUAGACCUCAAUUACGCUAUAUGCCAACUGUGAAAUGCUCUUAAUGUUCUCACUUGAAAUAUUAAUGUUUGUUACCACCUGUUUCAGUCUUCAAAAUUAUUAACAUUGAAAAAGUUUGCGUAAACGGUUUGGUUUUUUUAAUAAAAAUAAUUGAUUACCAUUAUGAAAUAUUCAGUUUUUUUAUUAACAUUGAAAAAGUUUGCCAAAACUGUUUGUUUGUUUUUUAAUAAAAAAAAUUGAUUACCAUUAUGAAAUAUUCCGUUUUUUUAUUAUUUAAAAAUAUAUAUAUAUUUUUUUAUUAAAAUAAUUGAUUACUAUUAUGAAAUAGUCAGUUUUUUCUUAUUAAUAUUUUUAAAUUUAGAACAAUCCAGCUCUCUUUUUUAUUGCUUUAAAAGAAAUGCCCACUACAUUAUUUUAGAUUUUUAAUAAGUUUAUUAUCCAUGAUAUAUAUAUAUAUAUAUUUUUUUUUUGCUUAAUAUGUUGCAAGAUAAUUUCAUCAUCAAAUGAUUCAAUAUGGGCAGAUCCUGACUGCUAUGCUGAGAAGUCGCUUCAUCAUUGACUGCAGACUACCAUAACUGCGAAGACGACCCAUACUUUAUGAUUUUCUCCACCUCUAUAUCUUACAGGUGUGCUGAGUUGUUAUGCCCAUGAUAAAGGACUUGCUUGUACUUCUCUGCAACACUGGCAACCUUGUGAACUACCUCCCCUUCUACAGUGGAGAUUAUGGUUCCUUUAUCACUCUGACCAUCAGGUCAGAAGACCACGGACUCACCUAUAUCUUGCACCUACAUCCAUCCGGAUACCUAUGACCUUAGGGACUAUGCUCAACACCCCUCAGAUAAUCAUUCCCUGUAACAAAGGACACCCUACCUAUUCACUCCAGGACACCUCACUGUUACGUUGUGUUCUGCUGUAGAUACCCAUAUAUCUGAUGCUAUCAUAAGUUUAAUAAUUAAUCCUUCAUCAUCAUAUCUCUAUAAGCAUAGCUUUCUGCCACAUAUGCGGUUAAUGAAUAUGUGAUGUCUCCUUAUCCUAACUGUUCCUAUAUACCACUGUACCUGCAACCUCUUACAGGAGAUAUGAUGCCAAAUGUAUUGUUG